RNAcentral lists this long non-coding RNA (984 nucleotides) under Salmo salar (Atlantic salmon). RNAcentral's name for it is "lncRNA (ENSSSAG00000090900.1)". The record is from RNAcentral. Lineage: Eukaryota; Metazoa; Chordata; Actinopteri; Salmoniformes; Salmonidae.
GUAGGGAGAGAGUGGUAGGGAGAGAGUGGUAGGGAGAGAGAGGUAGGGAGAGAGUGGUAGGGAGAGAGAGGUAGGGAGAGAGAGGUAGGGAGAGAGUGGUAGGGAGAGAGAGGUAGGGUGAGAGUGUGUGUGAGAGAGAGGUAGGGAGAGAGAGGUAGGGAGAGAGUGGUAGGGAGAGAGUGUGUGGGAGAGAGUGGUAGGGAGAGAGUGUGUGUGAGAGAGAGGUAGGGAGAGAGUGGUAGGGAGAGAGAGGUAGGGAGAGAGAGGUAGGGAGAGAGUAUGUGGGAGAGAGAGGUAGGGAGAGAGUAUGUGGGAGAGAGAGGUAGGGAGAGAGUAUGUGGGAUCAGCAGCUGGAGGCUCUUUCUUUGUCGAGGGGGCCUCUGUUUAUUUACUGUACUACACUUCCACUCCUCUUUUUCCUCUCAUUCUCCCACCCUCUCUCCUUCUCCCGCUCUGUCUCAUUCCCCCUCUUUCUCAUCCUCUAACUCUCCCACUCCCCCUCUCUGUCAUCCUCCCACUCACGUCUUCCUCCCAUAUGUUUCAAAUGGUUUCUCCCACUCUCCACUUUUACCCUACUCUCCAACUCCGGGACUUCCCUUUCCCACUCCCCCUCUCUCCAUUUCUCUUUUCCAACUCAUUAUCCCCCUUUCCCAAAUGUUUACUCUCCCCUCUUCUACAGUAUGUGUUCUUCUGUCCCUCUCCCAUUCCCAAACCUUUUCCCAUAUGCUCCUAUAUGCUAUGUAUGAUUACCAGAAGAACUAAGAAGAAGAACAUCCAUUGUCCAUCGGUUAUGGUUCCCUGUGGCCAUUUUUAUAUGCAGUAUAAACCAUCACAUAGCAGCAUGCCAGUCAAGUGUAGAGAGUCGGCCUAGAUUACAUCUAAACUCUAUGUUUGCUUCUGUCCCCAUCUUGACUCGGUUGUAUGUUUUGGUAAACAUUCAACUUCUCUGUAAUUGACCUGGUUUGUUGGUGCACUAUGAUGAAC